This 499-nucleotide ribosomal RNA is filed under the name uncultured Glomeromycotina. RNAcentral's name for it is "partial small subunit ribosomal RNA". It matches the Rfam family "Eukaryotic small subunit ribosomal RNA", at positions 591 to 1092 of the family's 1831-position model. The record is from RNAcentral. Lineage: Eukaryota; Fungi; Glomeromycota.
CCAAUAGCGUAUAUUAAAGUUGUUGCAGUUAAAAAGCUCGUAGUUGAAUUUCGGGAUCAAUCUAUCGGUCGUGCAAUAGUACGUACUGAUUUUAUUGAUUCCUCCCUUCUGAUGAACUAUGAUGUCAUUAAUUUGGUGUCAUAGGGAAUCAGGACUGUUACUUUGAAAAAAUUAGAGUGUUUAAAGCAGGCUCACGCUUGAAUACAUUAGCAUGGAAUAACGAAAUAGGACGUUUGAUUCUAUUUUGUUGGUUUCUAGGAUCGACGUAAUGAUUAAUAGGGAUAGUUGGGGGCAUUAGUAUUCAAUUGUCAGAGGUGAAAUUCUUGGAUUUAUUGAAGACUAACUACUGCGAAAGCAUUUGCCAAGGAUGUUUUCAUUAAUCAAGAACGAAAGUUAGGGGGUCGAAGACGAUCAGAUACCGUCGUAGUCUUAACCAUAAACUAUGCCGACUAGGGAUCGGAUGAUGUUAAUUUUUUAAUGACUCAUUCGGCGCCUUACG